UGGGGAAUAGUUCAACGGUAGAACUGCGGACUCUGACUCCGUCAAUCUAGGUUCGAAUCCUAGUUCCCCAGCCA
This 74-nucleotide transfer RNA is filed under the name Agaricicola taiwanensis. Its description in RNAcentral is "tRNA-Gln". It matches the Rfam family "tRNA". From Rfam's summary of the family: Transfer RNA (tRNA) molecules are approximately 80 nucleotides in length. Their secondary structure includes four short double-helical elements and three loops (D, anti-codon, and T loops). Further hydrogen bonds mediate the characteristic L-shaped molecular structure. tRNAs have two regions of fundamental functional importance: the anti-codon, which is responsible for specific mRNA codon recognition, and the 3' end, to which the tRNAs corresponding amino acid is attached (by aminoacyl-tRNA synthetases). tRNAs cope with the degeneracy of the genetic code in two manners: having more than one tRNA (with a specific anti-codon) for a particular amino acid; and 'wobble' base-pairing, i.e. permitting non-standard base-pairing at the 3rd anti-codon position. RNAcentral also lists the same sequence under 6 other names. Lineage: Bacteria; Pseudomonadati; Pseudomonadota; Alphaproteobacteria; Rhodobacterales; Paracoccaceae. The record is from RNAcentral.